Molecule: non-coding RNA, 302 nt
Filed under: Phascolarctos cinereus (koala)
Lineage: Eukaryota; Metazoa; Chordata; Mammalia; Diprotodontia; Phascolarctidae
Source: RNAcentral
GCUGGGUGUGAUGGAGCACAUGUGUAACUCCUGCUCCUGGGAGGCUGAGAUUAGUGCCUGCUUGAACUUAAGAAAGGCUGAGCUCCAGUGUUCUAGGCCCACUGGGUAUCUACAGUAAAUCCUGCAACAGUGUGGUGAGCCCUGGAGAGCAGGGGCCACCAGGUGGCCUAAGGAGGGGCAGAGCAGCCUGGGUUGGAAAUGGAGCAGGUCAAAACUGCCAUGUUGAUCAGCAGUAGGAUUGGGCCGGUGAGUGGCUGUUGUACUUGUAGCCUGGGUGAAUCAGGGAGGGAGACCUAGUUUCC